This 252-nucleotide ribosomal RNA is filed under the name uncultured bacterium. Its description in RNAcentral is "partial 16S ribosomal RNA". It matches the Rfam family "Bacterial small subunit ribosomal RNA", at positions 524 to 776 of the family's 1533-position model. The record is from RNAcentral.
UACGUAAGGUCCGAGCGUUGUCCGGAAUCAUUGGGCGUAAAGGGUACGUAGGCGGAUAAGCAAGUUAGAAGUGAAAGGCUAUAGCUCAACUAUAGUAAGCUUUUAAAACUGUUUAACUUGAGAGAUGGAAGGGAAAGUGGAAUUCCUAGUGUAGCGGUGAAAUGCGCAGAUAUUAAAAAGAAUACCGGUGGCGAAGGCGACUUACUGGGCUCAUUCUGACGCUGAGGAACGAAAGCGUGGGUAGCAAACAGG